CCAGACUCCUACGGGAGGCAGCAGUGAGGAAUAUUGGUCAAUGGGCGGGAGCCUGAACCAGCCAAGUCGCGUGAGGGAAGACGGUCCUAUGGAUUGUAAACCUCUUUUGUCGGGGAGCAAAGAGGCCACGUGUGGUCAAAAGCGAGAGUACCCGAAGAAAAAGCAUCGGCUAACUCCGUGCCAGCAGCCGCGGUAAUACGGAGGAUGCGAGCGUUAUCCGGAUUUAUUGGGUUUAAAGGGUGCGCAGGCGGGCUGUUAAGCCGGCGGUAAAAAUUCAGGGCUCAACCCUGUCGAGCCGUCGGAACUGGCAGUCUUGAGUGGGCGAGAAGUAUGCGGAAUGCGUGGUGUAGCGGUGAAAUGCAUAGAUAUCACGCAGAACGCCGAUUGCGAAGGCAGCAUACCGGCGCCCAACUGACGCUGAGGCACGAAAGCGUGGGGAUCGAACAGGAUUAGAUACCCCUGUAC
RNAcentral lists this ribosomal RNA (465 nucleotides) under uncultured bacterium. RNAcentral's name for it is "bacterial SSU rRNA". It matches the Rfam family "Bacterial small subunit ribosomal RNA", at positions 331 to 793 of the family's 1533-position model. The record is from RNAcentral.